RNAcentral lists this unclassified non-coding RNA (673 nucleotides) under Pedicularis crenulata. RNAcentral's name for it is "sequence contains ITS1, 5.8S rRNA gene and ITS2". The stretch from base 250 to 405 matches the Rfam family "5.8S ribosomal RNA". The record is from RNAcentral. Lineage: Eukaryota; Viridiplantae; Streptophyta; Magnoliopsida; Lamiales; Orobanchaceae.
GCGGAAGGAUCAUUGUCGAAUCCUGCAAAAAUAGACCGCGAACAUGUUAAACCAUAUUUGGACUGCGGGUCUCGGGGGAGACCCUUUGCCCGCGCCCAACUCUCGCACAGCGUCCGCUUAGGCGCACUAAGUGCGGGCUAACUAACCCCGGCGCGGCAUGCGCCAAGGAAAACUCACAGAAGCGUCGAUCUCCCUUCGCCCCGUUUGCGGUGUGCGGUGGGGGAACUGACGUCUCUCCAAUGUCAUAACGACUCUCGGCAACGGAUAUCUCGGCUCUCGCAUCGAUGAAGAACGUAGCGAAAUGCGAUACUUGGUGUGAAUUGCAGAAUCCCGUGAACCAUCGAGUCUUUGAACGCAAGUUGCGCCCGAAGCCAUUCGGCUGAGGGCACGUCUGCCUGGGCGUCACGCAUCGCGUCGCCUCCCCCACCCACACCCCAUGGGGCGAUUGGGUGCCGGGGGKGGAAAUUGGCCCCCCGUGUGUUUUUAUGCGCGGCCGGCCUAAAUGUGAACCCGUGCCGACUCGCGUCACGACCAGUGGUGGUUGAAAACUCAACUCUCGUGCUGUCGUGUCGUUUUGAGUUGGUUUUCGGGCUUCGUCGCAGACCCAAUGGCGCGAGCCUAUCGUGCCUUCGACCGCAACCCCAGGUCAGGCGGGAUUACCCGCUGAGUUUAA